This 2501-nucleotide ribosomal RNA is filed under the name Clostridioides difficile ATCC 43255. RNAcentral's name for it is "bacterial LSU rRNA". It matches the Rfam family "Bacterial large subunit ribosomal RNA", at positions 401 to 2925 of the family's 2925-position model. The record is from RNAcentral. RNAcentral also lists the same sequence under 1 other name. Lineage: Bacteria; Bacillati; Bacillota; Clostridia; Peptostreptococcales; Peptostreptococcaceae.
UAUGAUCCAGAGUACCACGGGACACGUGAAACCCUGUGGGAAGCAGGAGGGACCACCCUCCAAGGCUAAAUACUACCUAGUGACCGAUAGCGUAUAGUACCGUGAGGGAAAGGUGAAAAGAACCCCGGGAGGGGAGUGAAAUAGAACCUGAAACCCUGCACUUACAAGCUGUGGAAGCACAUUUCUUGUGUGACCGCGUACUUUUUGUAGAACGGGCCAACGAGUUACGUUAAGUAGCAAGGUUAAGCACUUAAGGUGUGGAGCCGUAGCGAAAGCGAGUUUUAACUGAGCGUUCAGUUACUUGACGUAGACCCGAAACCGGGCGACCUACCCAUGAGCAGGAUGAAGCGAAAGUAAAAUUUCGUGGAGGUCCGAACCCACGAGCGUUGAAAAGCUCGGGGAUGACUUGUGGGUAGCGGUGAAAUUCCAAUCGAGCCCGGAGAUAGCUGGUUCUCCCCGAAAUAGCUUUAGGGCUAGCCUCAAGGUGAGAGAUACGGAGGUAGAGCACUGAAUGUCCUAGGGGGUAUUGCACCUACCGAAGACUAUCAAACUCCGAAUGCCGUCAUCUUAUACUUGGGAGUCAGACUGUGGGUGAUAAGAUUCAUAGUCGAAAGGGCAACAGCCCAGAUCGUCAGCUAAGGUCCCUAAAUGUAAGUUAAGUGGUAAAGGAUGUGGGAUUGCACAGACAACCAGGAUGUUGGCUUAGAAGCAGCCACUCAUUCAAAGAGUGCGUAAUAGCUCACUGGUCGAGUGAUCCUGCGCCGAAGAUUUCCGGGGCUAAAACUUACUACCGAAGCUACGGCAUCAGUAAUGAUGGGUAGGGGAGCUUCCCAUACGGGUUGAAGCAUGACCGUAAGGACAUGUGGACAGUAUGGGAGUGAGAAUGUUGGCAUGAGUAGCGAGAUGUGGGUGAGAAUCCCACAGGCCGUAAACCCAAGGUUUCCAGGGGAAGGUUCGUCCGCCCUGGGUUAGUCGGGACCUAAGCUGAGGCCGAAAGGCGUAGGUGAUGGACAACAGGUUGAUAUUCCUGUACUACCGAUAACCGUUUGAGAGAAGGGAUGACACAGUAGGAUAAGCUAAGCACACUGUUGGUUAUGUGUGCCCAAGCAUUGAGGCAGUCAAAGUAGGCAAAUCCGCUUUGAUAAUGCUGGGAUGUGAUGGGGAGCGAAAUUUAGUAGCGAAGUAGCUGAUUUCACACUGUCAAGAAAAGUCUCUAUCGAGGUUAAAGGUACCCGUACCGCAAACCGACACAGGUGGGUGAGGAGAGUAUCCUAAGGCCAGCGAGAGAACUGUUGUUAAGGAACUCGGCAAAAUGACCCCGUAACUUAGGGAUAAGGGGUGCCACCAUCAGGUGGCCGCAGAGAAUAGGCCCAAGCGACUGUUUACCAAAAACAUAGGUUUCUGCUAAGUCGCAAGACGAUGUAUAGGAGCUGACGCCUGCCCGGUGCUGGAAGGUUAAGGGGAUCUGUUAGAGCAAUCGAAGCAGUGAACUUAAGCCCCAGUAAACGGCGGCCGUAACUAUAACGGUCCUAAGGUAGCGAAAUUCCUUGUCGGGUAAGUUCCGACCCGCACGAAAGGCGUAACGAUUUGGGCACUGUCUCAACAACAGACUCGGUGAAAUUGUAAUUCCGGUGAAGAUGCCGGAUACCUGCGACAGGACGGAAAGACCCCAUGGAGCUUUACUGUAGCUUGACAUUGGGUCUUGGUACUACAUGUACAGGAUAGGUGGGAGGCUUUGAAACCAGGACGCCAGUUUUGGCGGAGCCAUCCUUGGGAUACCACCCUUGUAGUACUGGGACUCUAACCAUAGGCCAUGAAUCUGGUCUUGGGACACUGUCAGGUGGGCAGUUUGACUGGGGCGGUCGCCUCCCAAAAGGUAACGGAGGCGCUCAAAGGUUCUCUCAGUACGGUCGGAAAUCGUACGUAGAGUGUAAAGGCAAAAGAGAGCUUGAUUGCAAGACAUACAGGUCGAGCAAGGAUGAAAAUCGGACUUAGUGAUCCGGUGGUUCUGCGUGGAAGGGCCAUCGCUCAACGGAUAAAAGCUACCCUGGGGAUAACAGGCUUAUCUCCCCCAAGAGUCCACAUCGACGGGGAGGUUUGGCACCUCGAUGUCGGCUCAUCACAUCCUGGGGCUGUAGUAGGUCCCAAGGGUUGGGCUGUUCGCCCAUUAAAGUGGUACGCGAGCUGGGUUCAGAACGUCGUGAGACAGUUCGGUCCCUAUCCGUCGCAGGCGUAGGAAAUUUGAGAAGACCUGUCCUUAGUACGAGAGGACCGGGAUGGACGUACCUCUGGUGUACCAGUUGUCCUGCCAAGGGCAUGGCUGGGUAGCUAUGUACGGAAUGGAUAAGCGCUGAAAGCAUCUAAGCGCGAAGCCAACUUCAAGAUAAGAUUUCCCACCGCAAGGGUAAGACCCCAGAAAGACUAUCUGGUUGAUAGGUCGAAGGUGUAAGUGCAGCAAUGUAUUUAGCUUAUCGAUACUAAUAGGUCGAGGACUUGACCAA